RNAcentral lists this ribosomal RNA (717 nucleotides) under Asterionellopsis glacialis. RNAcentral describes it as "partial Bacterial large subunit ribosomal RNA". It matches the Rfam family "Bacterial large subunit ribosomal RNA", at positions 1888 to 2604 of the family's 2925-position model. The record is from RNAcentral. Lineage: Eukaryota; Bacillariophyta; Plagiogrammaphyceae; Rhaphoneidales; Asterionellopsidaceae.
GGUCACCGCAAGGGAAGCUGGCGACCGAAGCCCCGAUAAACGGCGGCCGUAACUAUGACGGUCCUAAGGUAGCGAAAUUCCUUGUCGGGUAAGUUCCGACCCGCACGAAAGGCGUAAUGAUUUGGAUACUGUCUCGGAGAGGGGCUCGGUGAAAUAGACUUGUCUGUGAAGAUGCGGACUACCUGCACCUGGACAGAAAGACCCUAUGAAGCUUUACUGUAACUUGAGAUUGGUUUCGGGUUUUAUUUGCGCAGAAUAGGUGGGAGGCUAUGAAAAAAUACUUGUGGGUGUUUUGGAGCCAUCAGUGAGAUACCACUCUUGUAAAACUAGAAAUCUAACUUUACACCAUUAUCUGGUUAAAAGACAGUCUCAGGCGGGCAGUUUGACUGGGGCGGUCGCCUCCUAAAGGGUAACGGAGGCGCCCAAAGGUUCCCUCAGCCUGGUUGGUAAUCAGGUGGUGAGUGUAAGUGCACAAGGGGGCUUGACUGUGAGACUGACAGGUCGAGCAGGGACGAAAGUCGGGACUAGUGAUCUGACGGUGGCUUGUGGAUGCGCCGUCACUCAACGGAUAAAAGGUACCCCGGGGAUAACAGGCUGAUCUUGCCCGAGCGCUCACAGCGACGGCAUGGUUUGGCACCUCGAUGUCGGCUCGUCGCAUCCUGGGGCUGGAGUAGGUCCCAAGGGUUGGGCUGUUCGCCCAUUAAAGCGGUACGUGAG